Molecule: ribosomal RNA, 822 nt
Filed under: Acinetobacter sp.
Lineage: Bacteria; Pseudomonadati; Pseudomonadota; Gammaproteobacteria; Moraxellales; Moraxellaceae
Description: bacterial SSU rRNA
Rfam family: Bacterial small subunit ribosomal RNA
Source: RNAcentral
CUAUCGGGAUUUUCUUGGGCGUAAGCGUGCGUAGGCGGCUUUUUAAGUCGGAUGUGAAAUCCCUGAGCUUAACUUAGGAAUUGCAUUCGAUACUGGGAAGCUAGAGUAUGGGAGAGGAUGGUAGAAUUCCAGGUGUAGCGGUGAAAUGCGUAGAGAUCUGGAGGAAUACCGAUGGCGAAGGCAGCCAUCUGGCCUAAUACUGACGCUGAGGUACGAAAGCAUGGGGAGCAAACAGGAUUAGAUACCCUGGUAGUCCAUGCCGUAAACGAUGUCUACUAGCCGCUGGGGCCUUUGAGGCUUUAGUGGCGCAGCUAACGCGAUAAGUAGACCGCCUGGGGAGUACGGUCGCAAGACUAAAACUCAAAUGAAUUGACGGGGGCCCGCACAAGCGGUGGAGCAUGUGGUUUAAUUCGAUGCAACGCGAAGAACCUUACCUGGUCUUGACAUAGUAAGAACUUUCCAGAGAUGGAUUGGUGCCUUCGGGAACUUACAUACAGGUGCUGCAUGGCUGUCGUCAGCUCGUGUCGUGAGAUGUUGGGUUAAGUCCCGCAACGAGCGCAACCCUUUUCCUUAUUUGCCAGCGGGGUUAAGCCGGGAACUUUAAGGAUACUGCCAGUGACAAACUGGAGGAAGGCGGGGACGACGUCAAAGUCAUCAUGGCCCUUACGACCAGGGGCUACACACGUGCUACAAUGGUCGGUACAAAGGGUUGCUACCUAGCGAUAGGGAUGCUAAUCUCAAAAAGCCGAUCGUAGUCCGGGAUUGGGAGUCUGCACUUCGACUCCAAUGGAAGUCGGAAAUCGCCUAGUAAUCGCGGAUCAA